RNAcentral lists this long non-coding RNA (218 nucleotides) under Elaeis guineensis (African oil palm). Its description in RNAcentral is "long non-coding RNA (EGUI_LNC006358)". Lineage: Eukaryota; Viridiplantae; Streptophyta; Magnoliopsida; Arecales; Arecaceae. The record is from RNAcentral.
UCUUCUUGAAGUUUUUCCGUUCUUGUCUCCUUGCAUCCUUUCUCCUUUGUCAUUUUCUUUUUGUUCUCCUUUCUGGGGCUAGCAUUAUGGCUAGAACCUCUCCUCGAGGAAGUCAGUCGGGGAACCCGACCAACGAUUCACGGUCGACCCCGGAGGUGGAGGCUUUUUCACUUUCGGUGGCAAACGUCGAAUGGCUCAAGGAGCAGUACGGUAUUCCG